CACUCAUCCAUCACACCCAUUACAUCCACUCAUUACCAAACAUUCAUCCACUACACCCAUUACAUCCACUCAUUACCAAACAUUCAUCCACUACACCCAUUACAUCCACUCAUUACCACAACACUCAUCACUACCACCUUAAUUAGAUGGUGGUCCUCUCCCUAGCCUAUAAAUACAUCCACCCUUCACCAUAACAAGGGAAAAGAAAAACCAAAGAGAACACAAUCCACCCAUCCACCCUUCACCAUAACUCACCUAUAUCCAUCCACCACCAUAAUUUACCACUCAUCCAUCCAACCACACCUUGUGCCGCAACAAAGAGAAGAAGGAGGACCCUUGGACGUGCUUGCCAUUCAAGUUGGAUUGUUGGAGCGUUUUUAGGUGUUUUCUUUCUUUUGUUUUCAAUGUCUAAAUUUGUUUAUCUUUGCUUUGUAAGUAUGAGUGGCUAAACCCCUAUUUAGUUAGGGGGAAGUUUGAAGCCAUGAACAUGUUUGAGAUUUAAAUUGAUUUCUUCCAAUUGUGAUUUGAUAAGUUGUGAUUGCAAUUCAAUUAUCUAUUUUAUUCAUAACUGAUUCUUGUAUGUUUAUUAAGGAUGCAUACUUAGUUUCAUGCAUGAAUUAGAUGCUAGAAUAUAAAUGAGUUUCACCUAAUCGUUACAAGUUUAUAUUCAUGAGUAGUGAAGGUUGUUUAUCACAAUCGCGUUAAUUGAAUUCUUGGCAUAAGUUUCAUGCAAUUCAUAGUUACAAGUGUUUCGUCAAUGCUUAUGAUUUCAUAGAACUUAAUGAUUCUUGCUUGUAUCUCUAUUAUGCAAUUCAUGUAGGGAACUUGUGGGGAAUGCUUUGGGUUGUUGUAUGCAAUCAUCCAAUUCAAUGAAAUUAGGAAAAUCUGAGGAUUAAUUUAAGCGUACCUAAUUAAUCUGGGGUGUUGAGCAUCAUAGUUUAUUGAAAAGCAAUUGGAAAUCAAUUCAUAUACAAGUGUGUCAUGUGUGAGAAACGACGGACCUCUAACUAAUCCAUCUAUCAUCUUAUUUCUUACAUUUGUUUUACAAUCUGCCUAGUUUUAUAACUUGUUUGUUUGUUUCAAAUUCAUCAAAACUAAAAUCCCCCUUUUACUUUCUUGUUUCAAAGUGUUUAAAAUCUGUUUGUUUGUGUUUUAGAGUGUUUUGAGUCAAGUCAAAACCCAAAUUUCGUCCAAAGUUGUGUUGGAGUCAGAAACUGCCUUAGUUUGUGUUUUUAGGCAGUUUUGAGUGUCUUUAAGUUAUUUUGAGUCUUGUGAACCUGUUUUGAGUUCUUUAAGUCUAUUCAAACGUUUUUAACUUUGUUUUUAUGUUUUUGAGUUAGUUUAGAGGUUUUAGCAAGCCCUCCUAAUCCCCGGUUUAGAACGAUCCCUAUUUGCAUUAUUACUACAAUUUGACAACAAGAGGGUUUAAUUUGUGUGUUAAGUUAAUUUUCGCAUCAAAUUUUGGCGCCGUUGCCGGGGAUUAGCAACUUUGCUAAUCCCCCGUUGUUUCUUUUUAUUUCUUUUUCGUGUCUUUUGUUUUAGUUACUGACUUUUGUUUCUUUUCGUGUCUUUUGUUUUUAGUUUCUUAUUUGGUUUUGUUUUGUUUAUUUUAAUUUUUGAUAUUUGAUUUAGUUCUCUUUCUUUGAUUUAAGAUACUAAAGAAGUAGGACAUGGAUUUUUCUAGCAUUCAAGCUCAAUUGGCCAAUCUUACUUCUCAAUUGUCGCAGUAUGCCGAAAGGACCACAAUGCAAAGUGUCCCUACAUUUGGUGCGUCUUAUAAGCAAGGAUAUCAAGCCAAUCAAUGUCCACAAAGAGAUUGGAGUGAUCAUUCAAACUCUAUGUGGUGGAAAGCUCAACAAGUUCAACAUGAAGCAUAUUGGCAGCCAUAUGAGGAGUUUUAUUCAAGACCUAUGCAGCCACUACAACCUCAUAUACAAUAUGUUCAAUCAAACUCAGAUUCGUCAAUAGAUUGCAAUCAAAUUCUUAAUGAAUUAAACUCUUUGGUGCAGGGCUCACAACAAGAAGAAUAUUUGCCGCCAUCGGAGGAGUUCUAUCACUGGCCAUAUGAACCAUCACAGCCACCACAACAAUCUGCCCAAUUCAAUUCAGGUACGUCUUUGGAUAAUGAUAUGUUUAAUAAGUUACUCACCUCUUUGAACCAGGAAGUAGAAAAUCAAAACAAAGAGAUGCAAAAUCAAGCCAAGAAGACGAGUGAAUUGGAGAAGCAAACUGAGCAGAUUAUGGAGUUCAUGGCACAAAUUCAAGAGCAAAGUGAACUCCCCAACUCAACUAUUGAAAAUUCGAAGGAAGAUUUUGAAAUCCAUGAUGCUAUCACUUUGGGAAGGGCUAUGGAGGUUGGAGCUAACCUAAAAACAUCCAAACAUAACCUAGAAGUGGAUAAGAAGCUGCUGAUUGAGGAGGAGGAAGAAGACAUACACACGGAAAGGGUAGAACAACCCUUGCCGCAGCCCCCUAAGCCCUCUAAACCACCCACCACAAGUAAGGACGUCCCAAUUUCAUUUCAUUCUAAUGUUAUUCCUCUGAACAUCCCUUUUCCUCCUAGGUUUUUGAUUCCCAAGAAAGAAGAGAGUAAAAAAACAUUGUGGAAGCCUUCCUAAAGGUGCAAAAUGAUAUUCCAAUUCUUGGUGUAACAUCAAGUUCCAGAUUGUGUUGAAAUGUUCAAAGGACUUUGUACACCAAGAAGAAUGAUUCAAGAGAAAGUAGUGGCUGGAGAAGAUGUAGAAUGCAUCAAAGAGGAUGUGAUUGAGACAACCAUUCCUAAAGAAGUUGAAUUUUAUGACACGGGACAAGUCAUAACUCUCAAAACACUAGAUCUGGCCAAGUCCCAUAUCCCUGCAACCUUCACAGAUGUGGUGUUCGUAAUUGAGUUUGUGUUGGAGCAAGAAAGUAAGCCAUCUUCUCCAACUUCGAUUUUAUUUUAUACUAACUUGCUGAUUUUAAUGAUUCAGGCACCUACACUAGAAUUUAAACCGUUGCCGGAUCACGUCAAGUAUCACCUUCCAUUUAAGGAUCAAUUCCAUGCUAUGGGCCCUAUCUAAGUUUAGAAGGAAGUUUCGUCCGGCUGAAGGACGUUAAAGCCAGCGCUUCUUGGGAGGCAACCCAUGUAUUCAAAUAAGGAAGAUUUUUGAAUCGCUUCACAAUUAGUUUUGCGUUUCUAAAAACCUUCCCUUUUCUGCAUUUCUAUUUUGCCAUGAUUGUCAUUUUUUAUUUUUUUUUUAUUUAUUUUUUUUGUUGUUUAUUUAAUUAUUUUUGGGUGUGGGUUUAUUUUUGAAACAUUGACAGAUAUACAAGGUAUUCUUACAUUCAUUUUCAUGAAAAAAAGGAACAUUAAGCAGAAAAUUACAAAAGGGAACCUUCACAAAGGCUGCUUAGGAGAAGUCUCAGUAGUCCGCGGAGCCUCAGCAGUCAGCGGAGCCCCAGAAGAAGGAGGCAGAUGAGGUUGAUCAUUUGGAGCUUCAGUACGCGGUACAGCCCUAGAAGACGAAGGCAAAUGCUGUUGGAAUAAACCCACAAAACUUUGAUGAUCAAGUAAGAUCUAACCAUCAGAUUCCUGCAUUUGGUCAAUUUUCCUCUUCAUGUUUGUGGCAUAGUUGUGUGCGAGCUUGUACAACUGUUUAUUCUCAUGCUUGAGCCCUCUAAUCUCCUGUUUGAGACUCAUCACUUCAGCCGCCAACGAUUCAACUUGACGGGUUCGAGCAAAUAGGCGUUGGGCCAUGUUGGACACAGAACCCGCACACUGCACACUAAGAGCAAGAGACUCCUUAACAGGCAACUCAUCAGACCGUUUGAAAGCAGUCUGUUAUCUUUAGGAGUGACAAGGUUCCUGGCCACCAUCGCAGCUGUCAUAUCAUUCUUCAUCACUAAAUCCCCAACGGUAAGGGGGCCAGUAGGGGAUAUGAAGGAUGGGCGCCAUAUGUUGUUUGGAGAAGGCGGGACUACCUCUUCACCAAGGUUCAAGUCAAAACGACGGUCGGAAGGGCCAGACAUUUUCAGAGGUGUUAAAGAAAGAAGAGGUCGGGCAAGUCAAGAUCGUAGAAGUGCAAGAAGGGAGUUUCUACAGGCAGAAAUUCAAGUGUGCUUUGAACGUCCUGCGUACCUCUAUAAAAAUCAGCACGCAAUGGGAUUUCAGAGAUCGAAGAGGCGAGCUCAGAAAUCGAAGAGGCCAACUAAAAAAAUCAAAGAGGCGCUAGCUUUCUCAAAAGCUGGGCUUGCUCAGAAACCACGGCCAAUCUUCUUUUCCAGAUUUAUCCGCACUUGUCACAUGCAACCUCUGCACUCGACGGGAUUUCAGAGAUCGAAGAGGCAAUUCCAGAUAUCGGAGAGGCAUCUGCUUUUUCAGACGUGUCAGCAUCUGUCACAUACAGAGUAAGCUUUGCAAAAAUCACGGGCAGUUUGUCGAAGCGCCGAUUCCAACCAUCUGUUUUUUCCAGACGUGUCAACAUCUGUCACAUGCAGAGUUAGCUUUGCGAAAAUCACGGGCAGUUUGUCGAAGCGUCGAUUCCAACCAUCUGUUUUUCCAGACGUGUCAACAUCUGUCACAUGCAGAGUCAGCUUUGCGAAAAUUAUGGGCAAUCUGUCGAAGAUCUCUUGUGAAGUUCACUAUUAAAUCAUCCAACGGUUGCUGACAAGAGUGAAAGAACAGUACCGAUUAUUAUUUCCUAUAAAUGUCGACCUUCACCCUCCAUGGCAAGGCAGACAUACAUAACCUUCCGUCAUCUCCGAGAAUGCCUUUCCAACAAACCCUUUCGAGUCACUCAGUGUUCCUUAUUCCUUAGGGUACCUCUGCAAACAACUCAUCGAAAGAAAAAGUAUUUCAUACCAUGAAGGUUGAAAGCAAGAGUAUCUCAUAUCAUGCUUUCUCCCUGUCAUUCUCCUUGUCGUUGUUUUAGGACAAGGAGAAAGAGAUCAAUCAGCCAGCACUUGGUAUCAAUCUUCUGAUCUGGAACCGACUGCUUGGAACCCCUUCCUGAUUGCUUACCUAGCCUUGCUCUCGAGUACUCAUCUUCAUCAUCUUAUGCUUCCUCUUCGUCUACCACAUCUGCCUGGGGAACAGAUAAGGAAAGUGAAAAUGAUACCUCGAAGCAUUUGAAGAUAAUUUGCCAAUUCAUCCUCAGCUAGGGACAAGGAGAAAGAAAGCAAGAGGUGGGCACUUGGGAAGAUUGAAGAAAGAAACAGACCAACACCUCUACCUCGUGCCUGCCUGCCGUGUAGAAGAAACAAGCAGAGAAGAAUGCAGACUGCACAAUCAAAUCAACCCAGCAGAAGGAGUCUGAAUUGAAACUAAGGAACUCUCAUAUUCCUCGCUCAGAAUUCCAAACCAGUUCGAGAUCAAAGCUGUGGAAAGACAACAAGAUCAUCUAUCUCCAAAACCAGAUUUGCGUUCUUAAACUUUACUCUGUCUAUUUUUUACUUUGCCAUACUUGUCAUGUUUAUUCGUUGUUUGUUUGUUUGCUUGUUUUUUGUGUGAGUUUAUGCUUGAAACAUUGAGGACAAUGUUUGAUUUAAGUGUGGGGAGGGGUAACUAUUGUUUUGCAUGAAAUUCGUAGGAGUUUAUCACCCAUUACUUCUAGUGUUGUUCCUUGUUGUUUUAAGUGUUUUUAAGCUAUUUUAGAGUGUUUCAGUGUGUUUUGACAUAAAAAUCCAAAAAUCUCAUAAAAAUUUGAAAAAUUGUUUUGAAAAACCCAAAAAAAGUUGUUUUUGUAUGUUUAUUUUGUGUCUUAGGGUACCUUCCAACACAAUGAUGAGGAUUUGGUUUUUAAUUACAUGACUGUUAAAGAGAGUUAUAUACAUGGAUGAAAAUUUGAUUUACUCUUUGGUGUAUGCUUGGUUGUGGUUAUAAUUUAUGAAUUCACAUGCAAUCAUAAAGGAAAAAUCAGUUUUGUAACAUGCUUGAAAGAAGGAACUCAAAUGUACAUUACAACCUUGUGAGACUUGAGCCUAAACGUUUAUUUGGAGAGUUAAUAAUCUGUGCAUCAUUGUUUCUAAAGUCGUUGCAUGAUCUCAUUAUUCUUUGCUUGGUUGCUACUUAGAAGGCGUUUCAUCAGUUAGUUCCAAAUGCUAGAACUCAUGCCUAUUUCAUUCAAAGCAUGUUAUUGAUUUGCAUAAUACAUAUUCAAGAUGAAGUUGUGUAGUGACCACCACAGCCAAAUUGCCGUGCCCUAUUUCAUUAUGUGUUUAAGUUUAACCCCGUUGAGCCUUGUGUAGCCUAUGUUCUUUGUUAACCCACACUAUCCUCACCUAACCUAGAUUAGGACCAUCCAUACCCUUGUUCUUGAAGCAUAGUAAAACAUAAUUUAGAAGGAAUUCCUUUUGUUGAACUUUUGCAGAAAAACAAGUGUGGGGGAAGUGAUUCUUGUGUGUGUGUGUGCCAAAGUCCUUAAUAAGGCACGGGUAGAAAAGAAAAAGAAAAAAAAAAGAAACAUUCGUGGAAAAUAGAAUGAAAAGAAGAAAAGUGAUGAAAAAUAGCUCUAAAGUGUUGUUUGUUGAAGAAAGGGUCCAAAACAUUGAAUUCGGCCCUAAGUACGGCUUGAAUCUUCCCGUUCUGUUGAAAAGUUAAUUUCUGCAUUAUUAAGUGAAUUCCAAGCGUCUAUUUCAUUACGUUGCUUGCUAUUGCUUUUAGAAUGUUUGUUAUCCCUAUCCUUUCUUUGUUAGCCAUUACCCUUAAACCCCGUUACAACCCUUAACUUCAUCUUGAGUGUCAUGCAUUUCAAUAUGUGGAGUUUGGAAUUGGUAUUAGCAUAUGGUGUCACUGGUUCUUGCAUCUAAGUAGUAGCAUUCCAUUCAUGAGAUCAUAAUAACUCCAGAAAAUUGCUUUCUUUGUUAUACAUAUAUGUGAGUACUAGUUUUCAUGUUUACAUCAAUCUUUUCACAUGUACCUAGUGUAGGGUGUGUAGCCAGAAAAUCUGAGUGAAAAUUGAGUGCAUAUUUGUAAGGAAUUGAGCAAAUUCUCUAAGGCAUGUUACUACAUUCAAAACAUCGUUUUAAUUGGUUAAAUGUGAACUAGUAAGUGGUGACUGUGAUUAAGUAUGUGCUCAAGUGUUAAGUUGACUAAAAUCUGUGGGAAUGAUGACUUUUAACUUGUCAUGUGCGUUGGAAAUCCCUAAGGCAAACGUUGGAAGGUUUAGGUUGUGUUUUGUUUUCUUUAUUUUGCUCGAGGACUAGCAAAAGCUAAGUGUGGGGGUAUUUGAUAAGCUCAUAUUUAUAUAUAUUUUACAUAAAAUUCACUUGUCUUUUCUUAGUUAGUUCCUUAUAUUUUUGAGCUAUUUACUAUGUUUUUGUGUUUUGUGUGAUUUAUCAAGCAAAGAAAAGAAAAGUAGCACAAGUGAAUUUUUUAAGUAACAAAUUCGUCAAAACUGCCUCUGCAGAUUAGCUGACUUUGAAAGCAUGUUACGAACAGCUCAGAAUGAAUGAGAAAAUGAGCCUUAUAUGCGUGGAAAGCUACGGAUGUCUACUUUCUGGAGCAAUUUACGGAUUGUUAAUAUCAUGUUUCUAGAAGAAGGUAUGGUCAUGGUCAUUGUAACACUGAAAGGUUCAGAAACAUGGACAGCACACACACAAAGAGAAAGGCAAGGCAUGGACAGUUUGACAUGGGCAGAAAAUGGGUGGAUUGUUGGCUGAAAUAAUGAAGAACAUGUGUGUGCAAAUGAAAAGGAAAAACACACACACAUGGGCAAAGGAAACACACACACAUGGGCAAAGGAAACACACACACACAUGGGCAUAAAAUGGGUUGAUUUGUGGUUGAAAUGAUGGAGGUCAUGUGUGUACAAAUGUAAAGGGAAACAUGGACAUCACACACUCAUCCACCACACCCAUUACAUCCACUACACCCAUCUCAUUACCAAACAUUCAUCCACUACACCAUUACAUCACUCAUUACCAAACAUUCAUCCACUACACCCAUUACAUCCACUCAUUACCACAACACUCAUCACUACCACCUUAAUUAGAUGGUGGUCCUCUCCCUAGCCUAUAAAUACAUCCACCCUUCACCAUAACAAGGGAAAAGAAAAACCAAAGAGAACACAAAUCCACCAUCCACCCUUCACCAUAACUCACCUAUAUCCAUCCACCACCAUAAUUUACCACUCAUCCAUCAAACCACACCUUGUGCCGCAACAAAGAGAAGAAGGAGGACCCUUGGACGUGCUUGCCAUUCAAGUUGGAUUGUUGGAGCGUUUUUAGGUGUUUUCUUUCUUUUGUUUUCAAUGUCUAAAUUUGUUUAUCUUUGCUUUGUAAGUAUGAGUGGCUAAACCCCU
Molecule: long non-coding RNA, 8279 nt
Filed under: Malus domestica (apple)
Lineage: Eukaryota; Viridiplantae; Streptophyta; Magnoliopsida; Rosales; Rosaceae
Description: long non-coding RNA (MDOM_LNC005929)
Source: RNAcentral